Molecule: ribosomal RNA, 406 nt
Filed under: uncultured bacterium
Lineage: Bacteria
Description: partial 16S ribosomal RNA
Rfam family: Bacterial small subunit ribosomal RNA
Source: RNAcentral
AUUGAACGCUGGCGGCAGGCCUAACACAUGCACGUCGAACGAGUGGCGGACGGGUGAGUAAUGUCUGGGAAACUGCCUGAUGGAUGGGGAUAUCUACUGGAAACGGUAGCUAAUACAGCAUACCAUCGGAUGUGCCCAGAUGGGAUUAGCUAGUAGGUGGGGUAAAGGCCCACCUAGGCGCCGAUCCCUAGCUGGUCUGAGCGGAUGACCAGCCAAACUGGAACUGAGACACUGUCCAGGCUCGUACGGGAGGCAGCAGUGGGGAAUAUUGCAAAAUGGGCGCAAGCCUGAUGAAGCCAUGCCGCGUGUAUGAAGAAGGCCUUCGGGUUGUAAAGUACUUUCAGCGGGGAGGCGUUACCCGCAGAAGAAGCACGGGCUAACUCCGUGCCAGCAACCGCGGUAAUUC